ACGGGCUUGCCGGACGGCCUGGACGGGUCGGACGGCUUGGGCUUGUCCGACGGCUUCGGGGGGUCCGACGGCUUCGGCCCGUC
RNAcentral lists this transfer RNA (83 nucleotides) under Streptomyces xanthochromogenes. Its description in RNAcentral is "tRNA-Pro(tgg)". The record is from RNAcentral. Lineage: Bacteria; Bacillati; Actinomycetota; Actinomycetes; Kitasatosporales; Streptomycetaceae.